Molecule: ribosomal RNA, 1785 nt
Filed under: Triticum aestivum (bread wheat)
Lineage: Eukaryota; Viridiplantae; Streptophyta; Magnoliopsida; Poales; Poaceae
Description: partial small subunit ribosomal RNA
Source: RNAcentral
AUGGUUACGAGUGUACCGAUUGGUGAGAAGCUCUUCAUAGGAGGAGACCUCAAUGGCCACGUGGGUACAUCUAACACAGGUUUUGAAGGGGCGCAUGGGGGCUUUGGCUAUGGCAUCAGGAAUCAAGAAGGAGAAGAUGUCUUAAGCUUUGCUCUAGCCUACAACAUGAUUGUAGCUAACACCCUCUUUAGAAAGAGAGAAUCACAUCUGGUGACUUUUAGUAGUGGCCAACACUCUAGCCAGAUUGAUUUCAUCCUCUCGAGAAGAGAAGAUAGGCGUGCGUGCCUAGACUGUAAGGUGAUACCUGGGGAGAGUGUUGUACCCCAGCAUAAGCUGGUGGUUGCUGACUUCCGCUUUCGGAUUCGUGUCCAGCGGGAUAAGCGUGCCAAGGUCGCUAGAACGAAGUGGUGGAAGCUCAAGGGGGAGGUAGCUCAGGUGUUCAAGGAGAGGGUAUUUAAGGAGGGCCCUUGGGAGGAAGGAGGGGAUGCGGACAAUGUGUGGAUGAAGAUGGCGACUUGCAUUCGUAAGGUGGCCUCGAAGGAGUUUGGAGUGUCCAGGGGAAGGAGAAGCGAACAUAAGGAUACCUGGUGGUGGAAUGAUGAUGUCCAAAAGGCGCUUAAAGAGAAGAAAGAUUGCUUCAGACGCCUAUACCUGGAUAGGAGUGCAGACAACAUAGAGAAGUACAAGAUGGCGAAGAAGGCCGCAAAGCGAGCUGUUGGUGAAGCAAGGGGUCGGGCAUAUGAGGACCUCUACCAACGGUUAGGCACGAAGGAAGGUGAAAGGGACAUCUAUAAGAUGGCUAAGAUCCGGGAGAGGAAGACGAGGGAUAUUGGCCAAGUCAAAUGCAUCAAGGACGGAGCAGGCCAACUCUUGGUGAAGGACGAAGAGAUUAAGCAUAGAUGGCGGGAGUACUUCGACAAGCUUUUCAAUGGGGAGAAUGAGAGUUCUACCAUUGAACUGAUUGACUCCUUUGAUGAGACCAGCAUGCGUUUUGCGCGGCGCAUCCAGGAGUCUGAGGUGAAGGAGGCUUUAAAAAGGAUGAAAGAAGGCAAGGCGAUGGGCCCUGAUUGUAUCCCCAUUGAGGUGUGGAAAGGUCUCGGGGACAUAGCGAUAGUAUGGCUAACCAAGCUUUUCAACCUCAUUUUUCGGGCAAAUAAGAUGCCAGAAGAAUGGAGACGGAGUAUAUUAGUACCAAUCUUCAAGAACAAGGGGGAUGUUCAGAGUUGUACUAAUUACCGUGGAAUUAAGCUGAUGAGCCAUACAAUGAAGCUAUGGGAGAGAGCCAUUGAGCACCGCUUAAGAAGAAUGACAAGCGUGACCAAAAAUCAGUUUGGUUUCAUGCCUGGGAGGUCGACCAUGGAAGCCAUUUUCUUGGUACGACAACUUAUGGAGAGAUAUAGGGAGCAUAAGAAGGACUUGCAUAUGGUGUUCAUUGACUUGGAGAAAGCCUAUGAUAAAAUACCGCGGAAUGUCAUGUGGUGGGCCUUGGAGAAACACAAAGUCCCAGCAAAGUACAUUACCCUCAUCAAGGACAUGUACAAUAAUGUUGUGACAAGUGUUCGAACAAGUGAUGUCGACACCGAUGACUUCCCGAUUAAGAUAGGACUGCAUCAGGGGUCAGCUUUGAGCCCUUAUCUUUUUGCAUUGGUGAUGGAUGAGGUCACAAGGGGUAUACAAGGAGAUAUCCCAUGGUGUAUGCUCUUUGCGGAUGAUGUGGUGCUAGUUGACGAUAGUCGGACGGGGGUAAAUAGGAAGUUAGAGUUAUGGAGACAAACCUUGGAAUCG